AUUUGCUAAAGGUUGACGAUCGAGAUUGAGACACUAAAGUUCGUCCAUUUAUAUUAAAAGUCUUUAAUGUCGAGCCAUUAUGAUUGGAAAGAAAAGUCUUUCUCUAAAAUGACCUAUAGAUUAAGGGAAGGUCGUUCUUUACUCAAAAACAAUUAGGAGAAAUGCUCAAGCCUCAAGGCAUAGAUUAAAAUAUGACCCGAUUAAUUACUAACUCAUUAAGUUAUAACUAGAUUUUACCCCGUGGUGUGCAGUAUUUUAUGUGUAUUUGUUAUGUAAAAUUUUAACAGUUAUAUUUUUAAAUACGUACAGUUAUAUACAAAGUUCGUUUAACAUAGUCUUUUGAUUGCCAAUAUGAACAAUGUAUCUUUUGUGGUUUAUAUAUAUCGAAAAUAGCUAGAUAGGUAUCAGCGUUAGAGUGAAAAAGGAAUUUCCUGCUUUCUUUUUUGUUAAACAAAAACGUACUUUUAUCUACCAGGGUCUAUUUUCUUUCAAAAUUUUUAUAUAGUAUUCGUGAUUUUGUGUAAUAUAAAUGUUAUAGUAUUAUAAUAUAAAUUUUCUUUCAAAAUUUAUAUGUACUAUUUGUGAUUUUGUGUAAUAAAAUUACUGAAUUUCUUUAGUGAUUAAUAUAAACGUUAUAGUGUUAUAAUACUAAAUUAUAAUAUAGUUGUAUUUGCAAAAAGUAAUUAAUGUAGAAUUUUAAACGUCAGAAUUUACAUAUACCUACGGUCUAAUUGUAAAUCAUUUUUUCCGAAGAAUAUGGUACAUUUGUGUGAAUCAUUUUUUUCUUUUGAUUAAACGAAAACACUUUCGUAAUGUUCCGAUUUUUUGUAAUUUUGUUGAUAAGUAUCAUGAUUAAAAAAUUAGUGAUUAAAUAGUUGAUAUUAAGAGUGUUUGGUAAUAUUAAUAUGUUCGUUAAUCCAUGUAGUUUUAAUUUUGAUGUGUGCGAAUACUAAGUAAUUUUUUUAUAACUUUUGUACGUUUUAGUAUAUUUUGUUAGCAAACUGUACUCAAUAUGUUAUUAUGAUGAUAUUACAUGUCUCAUGUGUGCUUUUCUUCAAACUGUUUGUGUAUUUUUUUUUUUUUUAACAAUAGGUAUUAUUACACAGUAGUUAUAGGUUUCACGUGUUUUAAUCUAAGAAUUAAAUCAAUAAGCUGUUCAAUUAUAUUGAAGCCAUUCUAUCAAAUAACAAACAGUUCACCAGAUCUAUGAUAUUAGCAUAAACGUACAUUAUAUUAUACUAAUAUAAAAGAUCAAACGUAAGACUUAAUUUUAGUCAUAGUUUUAGAAUCACUACACAUGAGGCUUGCCACUCUAAUCUUUAAUAUCAUAUUAGCACAAAAGACAAUGUUUUCUAAUAUGUACGUUUUCUAAUAGUUUACGAAAGUAUACAUUUUUGUGAAGAAACAAUACAUCAAUACCUGUUAAAGAAUCAAUAAGUAAACGAUGGAUUCCCGAGGACACUGGAACAUGAGAGCAAAACCAUUAGAUAGAAAUCUUUAUAUAUGAAGGUUAAAAGAAGUUAGACAAUCAUUCAAAUCCAUUUUUCAUUUUAUAAAACGUGAGAAGCAACAAAGGAUUUGACACACUUAUUAUUCCUGCAAAAUUUUCCACAAAUCAAACAUAAUAAUCAUUAUAAU
Molecule: long non-coding RNA, 1638 nt
Filed under: Capsella rubella
Lineage: Eukaryota; Viridiplantae; Streptophyta; Magnoliopsida; Brassicales; Brassicaceae
Description: long non-coding RNA (CRUB_LNC001529)
Source: RNAcentral